ACUCUGAUCUUCUUGUUGUUGGAAUGUUGAAGACAGAAAUGCCCACAAGUAAUGAACAUCAUUAAUGCACACAUAGAAUGCACAAUGGAAGGAUACUGCAUAUCUUAUAGCAACACUUGAUUUUCAGAUAAACCAUUUAUAAUAUACAGCCCAUUCUGAGUGAUAAUCAUUACACAUAAAAGAAGGGUCAAAACUCAAAAUGAAGAGUAAAGGGAUGGAAAAAACAAUCCGGAUGCUAGACUAGCUGGAUCCUAACUUUUUGGUUCCAUUACUUGUGACAAAUUGCCUAUUCAUCACCCAUGGCCAACUCCAGUGCGUAGUCAUCCCUUUCCUGUUAGAUGAAGCACUCCGAGGUAAGAUAAAACAAUAACCAAACAUUUGCUAGUCUCCUUUUUCCUUCUAGAUCUAUCUCCUUCAUAUAUACGUAUAUAAUGAAAGAAAAAUAUCCUUCUAACUUCAUCUAUUUAUAUUAAACUUAAUAGCAUAAUUAUAGAACUCAGCACUUACAAUUGGUCCACGGGCAAAAUAUCUUCCAAACUGAAGCCAAUACACCUGUGACGCACCAGAAUUUAAUCAUGACCCAUCAUUCAUGCAAGCAAAUGUAAAUUCCAGUAUCUAAUAAGUUUAUAGUACUGCAACUCCUUUUUUAAGGAAAAAAAAACUCUCAUGUGAGGGGAUCAUUUAGAAACACAUGAAGAUACAUUCAAAUGCUCAUAAUUUAUUUUAAAAUGAUAAAAUCACAAUUCAAUUUAUACAAAUAUUGUAUAUCUAUUUAAAAUAUCUAAUGCACAUAAUAAUCUCUCAGCAUAAGGUUGAAACUUUUGAAUUUACCUCAUCCUCAUCUUGUGUUUCUACUUCAAGAUCAGAAGAUGGGAAACCUACGCAAAGAAGCGCAUAACCCUGCAUCACAAAUUUUCUAAGUAUGGAUUCCCAGGUAUUCUAAAAUAAGAGGAUGAAAGUAUCAUCAUUGAAUUGCACAUGUAACAUCAAGUUAGAACUUUCACAUAGUUCCAGCUAAGGGCUUGACUGGAAAAUUAUUGUCAAGAGAAUAAGAUAACUGUUGGAUUAAAUUUUUUUUCAGAAAAAAAAGAGCUAGAAAUUUUAAAAAAGAGUUACUUCAAAGAGCAAUUUUUUUUUUUCAAAAAUAAUAAUGUAAAGAUUAGGUUAGAAUCUUUUAUGGCUUUAGAAAAACUAAAUCUUGGCCAUAUCCACCCACUUUCAAAAUCUUAUAUCUUAAGCAAAAGGAAUAGAUAUAUUUCCAUAAUUUUAGAGAUCCUGUAUUAUGAAAUUAAAUCUACAUGGUAUUUAGUGUAUGUGAUUGAGGAACACCAAGAAUACGAUGCCAUCCAUUUCAUUUUGAAUAUACUUACUUCAGGUUUAGCAGCAAUGAUAAUGAUGAAGGAUAUCAAGUGGCCAGUUAAACUAAAAUCAUAUGCAAAAUAAAGAUAAUCAGAAGCAUCCUAAAAGAAAGUUGCCUUAAAUUAGACACUACCUAAUAAAGAUAUUUUUUUUUCCAAAAUAUGAGGACAUAUAGAAUCAAUUACCUUCUCCCUCCUUUUUUUACUGCUGAAAUACAGGUGAACAGAAAGCCUAGAAAAAGAACUUUUAAUUCCUGUGUUAUAUUGUGUGCUAUCAGAAAAUAGCAUCAUGUUCUAUUGAGAGAUGUCUACAGAUCAACAAAAUUCAAACUUGCCAUUCUUUCUUUCCCAAACCAUCAUAUCCAUCAAACAGAACCUUAGGUCAUUGCCUUGAUAAAUAAAUAAGUAUUCCAUUUUUAGCCACGAUUCACACAAUUUACACAAAGUUCAGCAUCAAUAAUAAAGAACUUUCAAAUAUCAGCCUCUUAUGUAUCUGACCAGUAAAAUUCUAAAAUAGGAGGUAAGCCUCAUGCCUUUGAUUUCAGUUCUGCAGAUAUCCCUAGUGCUUCUGGCUGUCUAAUAUGUCCAGAUUUUACACGUACAGCACAGCUAGUGCAACAACCUGCAAGCACAGAGCUUUUCAUCAAGGACAAUUUUGAACAGUAAGGACAAGAACAUUUUUUUUAGAAGUUAAACAGGGAUGACUUUUCUUUCUAACAUUCACAAAGAAUUAUUUCUCAGAAAGCCUAUCAUUAAAAAAAAAAGUAAUCUGUUCAUAAAAAUAUAAGAAGUGGCAAUAUUGAUAUUCAAAUGAAGGAAAGUUGCACUUGCACCUCAUUGCGUGCACAAAGCAUGUUCCAGUUUUAAUUCAUGCUAACACUACAUGAACCUUAUUUGUUAUCAAUGCAUUCAAAAUGAUGCAAUAUGCAGAAAGAAUUAAAAAAAAAUACUAAUAAAAUGAGUAAAGAACAAAAAGUUAAUUAUUUCACCGGAGAAGAUGACUGCUAGCACAGGAACAUGAGAUGGGAGUGUUUCCUCAUCCGCCAACUCACUUGUCCUAGUAGUUCUGACUCAAAGUCUAUGGCAGGGCUAGGUGGCACAAUCCACACAUCUGAUUCUUAUUCAAGCAUGCAUUUUUUAAUCAUUCUGUAGGCAUCUCAUCUCACCAAAAACUAUUAGAUUUAUACUGAAUACACUUAUGUACCAAAUGACAGAAGUCAUAAAGAAACAUGAGUGGGUGUGAUCUCGCUGAUCUAUGAGAAGGGCUUACUUUCCAAGUAGAAGACCUAUAGCAUGUGCCUCAGAGCCUAUUGACCUCAGGAGUUUACUUCUCAAAGGUGAAGCACUCAGGUACCAAAAUUGUCCAAGGAACACAAGUCCUUAGGAAUUUGGAUGCCUAAAGUGCUAUGCCCUUAAAAUAGACUUUGGCAGAGUUCAUAUUUGGGAAAAUAGAAGCUCCAUAAGAGUCUUCACUAAGUGGCUAUAAUGAUGGAUAGCAUAAGUAUCUAACCAAGAACAUCACUUGCCUUUUAGCUAACCUGAAAGGGAGGAAAGCUGAAUCUCAGACCUUGUCCCUCGCACCGCAUUCUUAUUUCAUCCCUGUUAAGAACACCUCUCUCUCUAUUAACAGGUAAAAGUCCAUUUCAAAAGUCACAUCACGAUCUGGCAUUUCCUUAAAGGAGACAACUUAAUCCUCCAACCCUAUUUUCUCAAUUCAUCACUUCAAUCAUUGAUGAGAACAUGAAACUUUAAUACUUAACAUGAAACUUUAAUACUUGCUAUAUCUUUUCAAGGUAACAGUGCACAUGAUAUGGCAAAAUUAUGCAUAAAUCUAAAUUUUUUACGUUGAAUUUUAUCACUUAUGAGUGUGUUCCUUGAAAAAUAAACAAUAAAGGUGGUGACAAUUUAUACCUUCCAAUCACCUAAAUUAAUCUUCAAUGCUGAGUUAAAGCUGAGAUGGAAAUAUUUAGUCUACCUGUGUGCUUGAGGGUAGAAAAAAAACCUAACUCAAAUAGACAUGGCAAGUGAACCAACCAUUAAUAAUGGGCUUCAUAAAGGAUUUUCCCAAAAACCACUUUUUAUCAACUUGUUUAAUUAGUUUUUAUGGGACAACUCUUGUUAAUUAGUCCAUUACUAUAAUGGAUAUUAACUGGAGUCAAAUUUUUGGAUGUGUUUCUCAGUGAUGAUACAUACCAUGUCAGUAUUUGUUUUUGACACUUCAGCACAUAUAUACAGUAGCAGAUGUA
RNAcentral lists this unclassified non-coding RNA (3604 nucleotides) under Hevea brasiliensis (rubber tree). The record is from RNAcentral. Lineage: Eukaryota; Viridiplantae; Streptophyta; Magnoliopsida; Malpighiales; Euphorbiaceae.